AUAGAUAGUUUCCUCGAUCGCGCUUCGUUUUCAAUCUUGUGCGUCACAUACACAAAACAAAAUCACACGCAAAACCCAUCUAUUCUCAAUCUGUGAAAAAGCUGUCUUUUUUUCGCCUAAUCUCUUUCGAAUAAAUCCACAAUAACGACAGGAAAGCAUUAAAUAUAAACUAUUUUAGAAGCAUCUUGAUGGUUCUUUCUUAUUUGCUUUUGUCAGUUUUGUGUAAUUUUGCGACUGUGGAUAAUGCUUUGUUGGACUCAUUCUGAGGUGGGGUUUUUGAAAUAUUGCAAAUUGAAUUCAAUUUGAGCUUUUCAGGUUGUUGGAGAACUUGGUUGCUUGAUUUUAAUGAAAUAUGGUCUCUGACUCUCUGUUGGGUUCUUGAUGAGUUUCGAGUGGAAAUGGUGAUUGAGUUUUGGGUAAUGGGCAUUGAAUAACAAGGAACAUUGCAAGUGUCCUCCUAGGAUUCUGGUGAGAUAGAAUAGAAGGCUAUUGUUGGUGAAGUUUGACUCUUGGGUUUUGAAUAAACAAGAUGGCAACAGCUAGUAAAGCUAGAAUUAUACUCGAGGGUUUAGUAAGAGAAGGAUCAUUUAAAUGGUUGCUCAGCAAGCGAAGUUCCUUUGACGAAGAAUUUGAGGAGAUGGGAAGGUCACCAUCUGCAAGCAGGAGUUGGAUAGCGGAGCUCUCUCCACUAGCUAAUAUGAUUGUUCGUAGAUGCUCAAAAAUCCUUGGCAUUUCUGCGAGUGAGCUGCAAGAAAGCUUCAAUGUGGAGGCCUCUGAUUCAGUAAAGCACCCAUCCCGGUAUGCAAGGAACUUUCUGGAAUACUGCUGCUUCAGAGCACUGGCUAUGUCUGUUCAAGUUACAGGUCAUCUAACUGAUAAAAAGUUUCGACGCUUGACAUAUGACAUGAUGCUAGCUUGGGAGAUUCCAGCAGCAGCCAGCCAACAUUUGGUUAAUAUAGAUGAGGACUUAACAGUUGGGCUAGAGGCUUUCUCAAGAAUAGCUCCAGCAGUUCCAAUUAUUGCCAAUGUUAUUAUCAGUGAAAAUCUUUUUGAGGUGCUUACUAUGUCAACUGGUGGCCGGCUACAUUUCUCCACCUAUGACAAGUACCUAAGUGGACUAGAGAGGGCAAUAAAAAAGAUGAAGACGCAAUCGGAUUCAUCACUUCUUUCUGCAGUUCGAUUUCCAAGAGGAGAAAAAAUUAUAGAAGUGGAUGGAACCGUCACCUCCCAACCAGUUCUUGAACAUGUAGGAAUAUCUGCAUGGCCAGGUCGGCUUAUUCUUACAGAUCAUGCAUUAUACUUUGAAGCUCUCCGUGUUGUAUCUUAUGACAAGCCAAAAGUAUAUGAUUUGUCAGAGGAUCUAAAACAAGUUGUUAAACCUGAGUUAACUGGACCAUGGGGUACACGACUUUUUGACAAGGCUGUAUCAUAUAAAUCUAUUUCCUUAUCAGAACCAGUUGUCAUAGAGUUUCCCGAGUUUAAAGGGCAUAGUCGUCGUGAUUACUGGCUGUCAAUUAUUCAGGAAAUUCUAUACGUUCACAGAUUCAUAAAUAAGUUUCAGCUAACUGGAGUUGAACAGGAUGAAGCACUUUCAAAGGCUGUACUUGGAAUUUUGCGACUACAAGCCAUUCAGGAAAUUAGUGUAAAUUUUGCUCAUUAUGAAAAUCUUCUCAUGUUUAAUCUUUGUGAUCAACUUCCUGGUGGAGACUUGAUACUAGAAACAGUUGCAAGCAUGUCUAGCAUAAGAGAACUAGAACGCAUGAACAAUUAUAAGGCUGGAGGUGGAAUGUACUCAAUCUCAGCCUUUGCCAUGAUUUCCAAUCUAGGGUUUGUGUUUGGAUCAAGUUCAAGCAAUUCAAAUGAAGCCCGGCUUGCUGUGGGUGAGAUAGCUGUGGGAGAAAUGAGUUCAUUAGAAAGAGCAGUUAAGGAAUCUAGAAAUAACUACAAAAAGGUGGUUCUAGCUCAGGAAACAGUUAAUGAAGUUAAAGUAGAUGGUAUUGACACCAAUGUGGCAGUUAUGAAGGAGUUACUUCAUCCUGUUGUGGAAGUUGGGAAGUGGCUGCUUGCCAUGGCAUCUUGGGAUGAUCCAGUGAAGUCUUUGGUUUUCUGUUUGAUUUUCACUUAUGUUAUUUGGAGGAAUGACAAUAUGCAAGAGUGGAGUUGGGUGGGGGGGAGGAUUUGUUCCGAUCCGUGUUCUCCUGUGGAAUCUUAUUAUGGGGAUGGUUGGCUUAUGCCUUUGGAAUGGCGCUCAUCUUUGUUGCCAUGUUUAUGGUGGUCACAAGAUUAUGUAACCAAGGCCAGCCUGUGGACGAACUUAAAGUACCAGCACCUCCACCAAUGAAUACAAUGGAGCAGCUUUUGGCUGUUCAAAAUGCAAUUUCUCAAGCAGAACAGGUCGUCCAGGAUGGAAAUGUUGUCCUCCUCAAGUUUCGAGCCCUGUUGCUGUCCUGUUUCCCUCAGGCAAGCGAAAAAUUUGCAGUAGCUCUUCUGUGCAUGGCUUUGAUCCUAGUUUUCAUACCUAGCAAGUACAUAGUUCUGUUAACCUUUUUGGAGGCGUUUACAAGGUAUUCACCUCCAAGAAAAGCAAGCAGUGAAAGAUGGUUAAGGCGCCUGAGAGAGUGGUGGUUUAGCAUACCUGCUGCUCCUGUGGUUCUUGAAAGAGAGAAGGAAGACAAAAAGAAAAAGUGAGGCUGUAAUUUUGCAUUAGAAUAUACAUGUACAUAUACAGUUGUGUGCUCCAGGCUGAGUGUAAAUUUAAACAGGAAG
Ricinus communis (castor bean) is the source of this 2766-nucleotide RNA transcript. RefSeq lists it as uncharacterized. The transcript is spliced from 11 exons. The record is from RefSeq and is a predicted model, not a curated record. NCBI's taxonomy places the organism in Eukaryota, Viridiplantae, Streptophyta, Magnoliopsida, Malpighiales, Euphorbiaceae.